AUCUAGCUGACAAGUCUCAGAUAGGACGAAACACACGUCCUGGAU
Non-coding RNA from Schistosoma mansoni, 45 nucleotides. The record is from Rfam. Lineage: Eukaryota; Metazoa; Platyhelminthes; Trematoda; Strigeidida; Schistosomatidae.